GCGAGGGUAGCCAAGUCUGGUCAAAGGCGUAGGACUCAAGAUCCUAUCCCUAGCGGUUCGGGCGUUCGAAUCGCCCCCCUCGCA
Molecule: transfer RNA, 84 nt
Filed under: Methanobacteriota archaeon
Lineage: Archaea; Methanobacteriati; Methanobacteriota
Description: Euryarchaeota archaeon (freshwater metagenome) tRNA-Leu
Rfam family: tRNA
About the family: Transfer RNA (tRNA) molecules are approximately 80 nucleotides in length. Their secondary structure includes four short double-helical elements and three loops (D, anti-codon, and T loops).
Source: RNAcentral